This is a long non-coding RNA of Bos taurus (domestic cattle), 2642 nucleotides long. The record is from Ensembl. Lineage: Eukaryota; Metazoa; Chordata; Mammalia; Artiodactyla; Bovidae.
GAUAUAAAUAUUUUCUUAGGCAGCCGCAACCCUUGGGACUGUGAUAGAGCCUUCCCCUAUCCCAGCCUGAGCCCAGACCCUGCUGGGAGAAGGUGGCUCUGGCUCACCGAGUGUAGGGAAAUCACUGUGGUCUCAUGCCAGUGCGACUUGCUGGAAAUCCACCCCCUAAAACUUACUGAAUAUCGACCCCCUUGGGUGUGGGGAAGCUGUUCAAAAGGAAGUGUCUUAUGGAAAAGCACUUCCCUGCAAAAACUACCCAAAAGAGGUGUCAGAAGGAGCCGGUGGUCACUGGAUGCCACCUGGCGCUGCAGAACCCUGGUACUGCAGGAACCAGUCAAGAGAGGUCACAGCAACCAACAGGCAGAGUUGUGCCCUCUCACAAGGCCUCCCUGACACCCUGCACUGAUAACGCUAAACCACAAGCCAGCUGGCAGAGAAAGCUACGCAAAAGGCCCAGACCCCUUUUUGCAAAGAAGGCGAAAAGGGUGAAUUUGGAGCUGACAGGGACGGGCACACUAUGUAACCUCAGCAGAGUCCAGGCCUUGUCUGGUUUCCCCUCCCCACACAUGCCCGCACGUUCCCGGUGGCCACUGUUAUCUCUCCGAAUCCCACCCUACUGCCCUUUCUCCCCUCGGCCUGACGUUUUGUUCCUGACUCCCACUCCCUCCGCUGCAAGUUGGCUCAGCAUUUUCUCCUAUGGCUUUACAAGGGGGAGGCUAGCUUCCUCGCCCAGCUUCUCACACCACAGCUGUGACCACAUUGAGAGGGUCAACAAAAUUGAACAGACAUUUUGGGGCAACAGAAAGGGAAUUGCAGAAGGGGAAAAUAAAAGAACUGAAACCAACUAAUGAUCCCAAAGAUGUGAAACCAUCCAGAGCAUCUCUCUCCUGGGCCCAAACCCCCCAACAGGACCCCCAGCAGAAUCCAGGCUGCAAUGCUAUCAGGGCCUAGUGAGAGGGGUCUCAAUCUUAGUCCCACUCCAUUCAGUAAAAAAAUAAUCAAUCUGCAGAGAUGAAGUUCUAUCUGUAGUAAAGAACCUAAGGGAAGAGAGUCUUCUUUGCCAAGUAAACUCUCCGCCUCAGCCUGGGCCCCGCUGGUUACAGAAAUGACAUUAGACACACACACAAUGGUAAUACCACUCAAGAACGGCUGCAUUUAAUACCUGUCUCCACGGAGCUCAAAUUCACUUUUACGGCCUGUUUGUGGGCAAGAAGGAGGAUUCGAGCGAUGGUUACUUCCUCUAAGAGCUUUUCUAUUGCUUCACGCCCCAAAUUAACAGGCUCCAUACAGCCUCCCUCCCAGCGCCCCAGGACCCACUAAACAGACAAAGACCACACUGACUCCAGCCCAGCGUCUCCAGCACUGCAGGCAGUGUGUUGCCAUGGUGCAGCAUGCAGGAUCUGAGUUCCCUUACCAGGGAUCAAACCCAUACCAUCUGCAGUGGAAGGAUGGAACUGUAACCACCAGACCACCAGGGAAUUCCCUGAUUGUUCUACGUUGAUAAAACUCAUGUUAUUCUUGCAGAGAAACCCAAGGACAUGCCAGAUUUACCUCCUCCCGGAGGAAGUGGUUGAGAAAUCCAUCUUCUUUUCAUUAUGAUGAGGGAAUGAGAAACAUGCCGUCCUGAAGAAGUACUAGGGGGACUUCUGUGUCUCCCCAGCACCAUCCCGAGGGCAAGGUGAACACAGCAGUGAUCGACGGCAGUGGUGGAGACCUGCUGUCAGCUUAUCUGUCUACCAGCUCCUGUGAAAGCAAGCCAAAGAACAAGCCAUAAGUCUACGAGCCAUUCAUGAACUCCUUUCUGCUUUGAAAAUGUAGUUCAUGCUUUCUAACUGUCAUUAUUAUGACAUGGAUGAGGCUUCCCUCAUAGCUCAGUCAGUAAAGAAUCUGCCUGCAGUGCAGGAGACCGGGGUUUGAUUCCUAGGUUGGGAAGAUCCCCUGGAGAAGGAAAUGGCAGCCCACUCCAGUAUUCUUGCCUGGAGAAUCCCAUAGACAGAGGAGUCUGGCAGGCUACAGUCCAUGGGGUCGCAGGAGUUGGACACGACUUAGAGACUAAACCAUCAACCGUGACAUGAAUGCUCAUUGAAUACUGGCUCUUGAUGAUUACAAUGACCUUGUCCUUGGGCAUACUGGAAGCAGGACAUGGCCUUCCUCCUUCCAUCCUCAUCUCUUCCCAGUCCCAGAAAUCACACAAUCAAUAACGGUCAUCUGUUGCUAAGAACUUAAGCUGUGAACUUUCUUGGGAGAUAUUUGUACUUUAAUUGUAAACCUAAUAAUGCCUUCGAGAAGCAGAGGAAUGAUGCUACCCAAUGGAUCACAGACACUCAUAGAAGCAAGGAGGCAAUCUGACUGAGGAGACCUCUCUGGAGCUCUUCAAUGCUCCCAACAGGUCCACCCUGAUGGUACACAUUUAUAUGAGAAAACACUGUAGCUGUCACUAAUUCCUUUCCUGUUGACACCUUGACCUGAGCUGUUAUUUAACUGCAAAGUACACUUGGUGGUAAACUGUAUAUAUUUCCUCAGUUGCUGUGAAUUCUGACUCAAGCUAAUUCAGGCUAGCUUAAUGAAACAAGAACCAGGAAAGCAAAAGCUUUCUGGCAGUUGCCUUGUGUACUGAUGUAGAGCUUGGGCCUCCCUGGUGG